AUGCAGUCGAACGAUGAAGCCCAGCUUGCUGGGUGGAUUAGUGGCGAACGGGUGAGUAACACGUGAGUAACCUGCCCUUGACUCUGGGAUAAGCGUUGGAAACGACGUCUAAUACCGGAUACGAGCUUCCACCGCAUGGUGAGUUGCUGGAAAGAAUUUUGGUCAAGGAUGGACUCGCGGCCUAUCAGCUUGUUGGUGAGGUAAUGGCUCACCAAGGCGACGACGGGUAGCCGGCCUGAGAGGGUGACCGGCCACACUGGGACUGAGACACGGCCCAGACUCCUACGGGAGGCAGCAGUGGGGAAUAUUGCACAAUGGGCGAAAGCCUGAUGCAGCAACGCCGCGUGAGGGACGACGGCCUUCGGGUUGUAAACCUCUUUUAGCAGGGAAGAAGCGAAAGUGACGGUACCUGCAGAAAAAGCACCGGCUAACUACGUGCCAGCAGCCGCGGUAAUACGUAGGGUGCAAGCGUUGUCCGGAAUUAUUGGGCGUAAAGAGCUCGUAGGCGGUUUGUCGCGUCUGCUGUGAAAUCCCGAGGCUCAACCUCGGGUCUGCAGUGGGUACGGGCAGACUAGAGUGCGGUAGGGGAGAUUGGAAUUCCUGGUGUAGCGGUGGAAUGCGCAGAUAUCAGGAGGAACACCGAUGGCGAAAGCAGAUCUCUGGGCCGCUACUGACGCUGAGGAGCGAAAGGGUGGGGAGCAAACAGCUUAGAUACCCYGGUAGUCCACCCCGUAAACGUUGGGCGCUAGAUGUGGGGGACCAUUCCACGGUUUCCGUGUCGUAGCUAACGCAUUAAGCGCCCCGCCUGGGGAGUACGGCGCAAGGCURAAACUCA
This 835-nucleotide ribosomal RNA is filed under the name Plantibacter sp. RNAcentral's name for it is "bacterial SSU rRNA". It matches the Rfam family "Bacterial small subunit ribosomal RNA", at positions 55 to 903 of the family's 1533-position model. Lineage: Bacteria; Bacillati; Actinomycetota; Actinomycetes; Micrococcales; Microbacteriaceae. The record is from RNAcentral.